RNAcentral lists this long non-coding RNA (217 nucleotides) under Citrus sinensis (sweet orange). RNAcentral's name for it is "long non-coding RNA (CSIN_LNC005247)". The record is from RNAcentral. Lineage: Eukaryota; Viridiplantae; Streptophyta; Magnoliopsida; Sapindales; Rutaceae.
AUGAGGUUCACAUUGGCGAGUUAACUUCGGGAAUCAAAGAAGUCAAGGAGAUGGUUGAAGGUCUUGCUCGACAAAUAGCAUCGUUAUCGACUGCUAAAUCAACAGAGCCACAUGACCAUGACUCAUACUCAGAUCAAGCCAAUGCCAUAGGUGUAAUGAGAAAACCAUCAAAUUACAACCCAUACUCCAACACAUAUAACCCGGGAUGGAGAGACCA